CGUCUAGGCGGUCAGGUAAGUGGGAUGUGAAAUGCCCCGGCUCACCCGGGGACCGGCAUCUCAUACUGCUUGGCUUGAGUACGGGAGAGGAUGUGGGAAUUCCCAGUGUAGCGGUGAAAUGCGUAGAUAUUGGGAGGAACACCGGUGGCGAAGGCGGCCCCCUGGACCGGUACUGACGCUGAGGCGCGAAAGCGUGGGUAGCAAACG
This 207-nucleotide ribosomal RNA is filed under the name uncultured bacterium. Its description in RNAcentral is "partial 16S ribosomal RNA". It matches the Rfam family "Bacterial small subunit ribosomal RNA", at positions 568 to 774 of the family's 1533-position model. The record is from RNAcentral.